GAUGAAGAACGUAGUGAAAUGCGAUAAGUAAUGUGAAUUGCAGAAUUCAGUGAAUCAUCGAAUCUUUGAACGCACAUUGCGCCCGCUAGUAUUCUGGCGGGCAUGCCUGUUCGAGCGUCAUUUCAACCAUCAAGCCCCAGGCUUGUGUUGGGGGCCUGCGGCUGCCGCAGCCCCUGAAAAGCAGUGGCGGGCUCGCUGUCAUUCCGAGCGCAGUAGUUACAUCUCGCUCCGGGCGUGGCGGUGGGCACCUGCCGUGAAACACUCCUUCUAAGGUUGACCUCGGAUCAGGUAGGAAUACCCGCUGAACUUAAGCAUAUCAAUAAGCGGAGGA
Molecule: unclassified non-coding RNA, 331 nt
Filed under: soil metagenome
Description: partial contains 5.8S ribosomal RNA, internal transcribed spacer 2, and large subunit ribosomal RNA
Rfam family: 5.8S ribosomal RNA (bases 1-120)
Source: RNAcentral